AUUGAAACGGGGCGCAGCCUGACCGCCUGCCGCGUGAGUGAUGAAGGCCUUCGGGUUGUAAAGCUCUUUAGUCCACGAAUAUAAUGACUGUAGUGGAAGAAUAAGCCCCGGCUAACUUCGUGCCAGCAGCCGCGGUAAUACGAGGGGGGCGAGCGUUGUUCGGAAUCACUGGGCGUAAAGAGUGCGUAGGCGGUUAUGAAAGUUAGAAGUGAAAGCCCAGAGCUCAACUCUGGAAUUGCUUUUAAAACUACAUAACUCGAAUUCGGGAGAGGAUAGCGGAAUUGUCAGUGUAGCAGUGAAAUGCGUAGAUAUUGACAGGAAGACGGGGGGCGUAAGCGGCUAUCUGGACCGACAUUGACGCUGAGGCACGA
RNAcentral lists this ribosomal RNA (371 nucleotides) under uncultured bacterium. Its description in RNAcentral is "bacterial SSU rRNA". It matches the Rfam family "Bacterial small subunit ribosomal RNA", at positions 361 to 756 of the family's 1533-position model. The record is from RNAcentral.